RNAcentral lists this long non-coding RNA (748 nucleotides) under Homo sapiens (human). RNAcentral describes it as "HSALNT0049237". The record is from RNAcentral. Lineage: Eukaryota; Metazoa; Chordata; Mammalia; Primates; Hominidae.
AGAAGACCAAUACCUAGGUCAUGUGGAAUGGAAGAUGCUAUGGAAGCUGAUUGGAACUGUGAGGAACUGAAAUCAUCUCCACCUGGAGCAAUUAAACAUGGACCUUGGAAGCCUUGCCUUUGAGAGGCCCAGGGCAACCUGUCCUACCUACCAGCUGCCCCAUCAGGGGGUAAUCCACUGAUCACCUCCCUCUGUUGGCACAGCAAUCCUGACACCUACAUCUGUGGGGCAACCUUCCCUAUCACCUGCACCUUUUGGAAUUUUGACUCCACCGUGGAGCCUAAGUGAAGCAUGGAGUCUGGGAAAACAAAGCAGAAGCCACUUAUUUGAAGAAAGAGAAAAUCCCACCCAUCCUUUCACCGUGAACCUGGAGUCCCACGGCUAGCUGCUUAGCUGGCUGCACUGUCGCGUUAAAUAGUUUCCCUGGAAGAGAAAUUGUCCUCUUAGAUUUUCAUUCGUUUUGUUGUUUCCUGUGGAUUUUGGGGAGAGGAGGAGCAUCUCCCCUGCACAGCUGCAAACUCAGGUUAGCUGGGUUAUACUCCUGUGCCGGAGCUUGCAGCAGGUGAUCAGGCCUGUGUACAUGAGGCUGUGGAGAGGCAGGGUGGGUACUGGGGCCAGGGGACUUCCAGGAAAUAAAGCUCCUACCUGAAAUGAUAAACAGAGGAAUAUAGUUUAGCCAAUUAGAGAGAAAUUAUUUCUAAAAACUCAAUAAAAUGUAGUUUAACCUUUCUCUCAUUUUCUGGUUUAU